GAACGUCGUGAGACAGUUCGGUCCCUAUCUGCCGUGGGCGUUGGAAAUUUGAGGAGAGCUGCUUCUAGUACGAGAGGACCGAAGUGGACGAACCCCUGGUGUUCGGGUUGUCAUGCCAAUGGCAUUGCCCGGUAGCUACGUUCGGAACGGAUAACCGCUGAAAGCAUCUAAGCGGGAAGCCCCCUCCAAGAUAAGAUUUCCCUAGAGCUUUAAGCUCUCAUAAGGAACGUUGAAGACUACGACGUUGAUAGGCAAGGUGUGUAAGUGCGGCGACGUAUUGAGCUAACUUGUACUAAUGAUCCGAGAGGC
RNAcentral lists this ribosomal RNA (309 nucleotides) under Scyphosphaera apsteinii. RNAcentral describes it as "partial Bacterial large subunit ribosomal RNA". It matches the Rfam family "Bacterial large subunit ribosomal RNA", at positions 2614 to 2917 of the family's 2925-position model. The record is from RNAcentral. Lineage: Eukaryota; Haptophyta; Coccosphaerales; Pontosphaeraceae.